Molecule: ribosomal RNA, 253 nt
Filed under: uncultured bacterium
Lineage: Bacteria
Description: partial 16S ribosomal RNA
Rfam family: Bacterial small subunit ribosomal RNA
Source: RNAcentral
UACGGAGGGAGCUAGCGUUGUUCGGAUAUACUGGGCGUAAAGCGCUCGCAGGCGGCUCGAUGCGUCGUGCGUGAAACACCCCGGCUCAACUGGGGAGGGUCGUGCGAUACGGUCGGGCUGGAGGCCAGUAGGGGGAUGCGGAAUUCCGGGUGUAGUGGUGGAAUGCGUAGAGAUCCGGAGGAACACCAGCGGCGAAGGCGGCAUCCUGGACUGGUCCUGACGCUCAGGAGCGAAAGCGUGGGGAGCGAUCCGG